GAUGAACGCUGGCGGCGUGCCUAACACAUGCAAGUCGAGCGAUCAGACGAGUAGCUUGCUCCUCUGACGUUAGCGGCGUACGGGUUAGUAACACGUGGAUCACCUACCUAUGAGAAUGGGAUAACUUCGUUUAAUAGUAGCUCAUACCAGAUAAUAUAUUGAACCGCAUGGUUCAAUGGUGAAAGACGGUUUUGCUGUCACUUAUAGAUUGGUCCGCGCCUGAUUAGGUAGUUGGUAAGGUAACGGCUUACCAAGGCAACUAUGCGUAGCCGACCUGAGAGGAUGAUCAGCCACACUGGAACUGAGACACGGUCCAGACUCCUACGGGAGGCAGCAGUAGGGAAUCUUCCGCAAUGGGCGAAAGCCUGACGGAGCAACGCCGCGUGAGUGAUGAAGGCCUUCGGGUCGUAAACCGCUUUUAUUAGGGAAGAAAAGAUGUCUAAUUAACUAUGCAGGUCUUGACGGUACCGAAACAGUAAGCCACGGCUAACUACGUG
Molecule: ribosomal RNA, 497 nt
Filed under: uncultured bacterium
Lineage: Bacteria
Description: partial 16S ribosomal RNA
Rfam family: Bacterial small subunit ribosomal RNA
Source: RNAcentral